Molecule: ribosomal RNA, 397 nt
Filed under: uncultured bacterium
Lineage: Bacteria
Description: bacterial SSU rRNA
Rfam family: Bacterial small subunit ribosomal RNA
Source: RNAcentral
AUAUUGCUCAAUGGGGGAAACCCUGAUGCAGCGACGCCGCGUGGAGGAAGAAGGUCUUCGGAUUGUAAACUCCUGUCCCAGGGGACGAUAAUGACGGUACCCUGGGAGGAAGCACCGGCUAACUACGUGCCAGCAGCCGCGGUAAAACGUAGGGUGCAAGCGUUGUCCGGAAUUACUGGGUGUAAAGGGAGCGCAGGCGGAUUGGCAAGUUGGGAGUGAAAUCUAUGGGCUCAACCCAUAAAUUGCUUUCAAAACUGUCAGUCUUGAGUGGUGUAGAGGUAGGCGGAAUUCCCGGUGUAGCGGUGGAAUGCGUAGAUAUCGGGAGGAACACCAGUGGCGAAGGCGGCCUACUGGGCACUAACUGACGCUGAGGCUCGAAAGCAUGGGGAGCAAACAG